GACGAACGCUGGCGGCGUGCUUAACACAUGCAAGUCGAACGGAAAGGCCCUGCUUUUGUGGGGUGCUCGAGUGGCGAACGGGUGAGUAACACGUGAGUAACCUGCCCUUGACUUUGGGAUAACUUCAGGAAACUGGGGCUAAUACCGGAUAGGAGCUCCUGCUGCAUGGUGGGGGUUGGAAAGUUUCGGCGGUUGGGGAUGGACUCGCGGCUUAUCAGCUUGUUGGUGGGGUAGUGGCUUACCAAGGCUUUGACGGGUAGCCGGCCUGAGAGGGUGACCGGCCACAUUGGGACUGAGAUGCGGCCCCGACUCCUACGGGAGGCAGCCGUGGGGAAUAUUGCACAAUGGGCGGAAGCCUGAUGCAGCAACGCCGCGUGCGGGAUGACGGCCUUCGGGUUGUAAACCGCUUUCGCCUGUGACGAAGCGUGAGUGACGGUAAUGGGUAAAGAAGCACCGGCUAACUACGUG
Molecule: ribosomal RNA, 468 nt
Filed under: uncultured bacterium
Lineage: Bacteria
Description: partial 16S ribosomal RNA
Rfam family: Bacterial small subunit ribosomal RNA
Source: RNAcentral